This 875-nucleotide long non-coding RNA is filed under the name Setaria italica (foxtail millet). RNAcentral's name for it is "long non-coding RNA (SITA_LNC007320)". Lineage: Eukaryota; Viridiplantae; Streptophyta; Magnoliopsida; Poales; Poaceae. The record is from RNAcentral.
AUCUCCAAUGCAACAUCUCAGACUAACUACUAUAGCAUCAAAAAUUCGAACGUGGAAAUGAAACAAAUUAAAAAUCAACCUCGCAACGUCAAAGAUCAUCACAUGCAACAUUUGCGAAUACUAAUCCCAACAUCUCAAAUCAUCCAUUGCAACAUUGAAAAAAAAUGCAAUAUUCUUGGAGAGAGAUGGGGAAGACGGGAGGAAGGAGAGGGCAUGGCACCCUCGCUGGCAGAGGGCCGUGGUGAUGAGAAUGCGAGUAGCUACAUCUUUCUCCUUCUUCGUCGUUGCUCCACUGCCCCCAAGGCAGAAUCACCUCCAAUGACAGCUUCUAGCCGAUCUGCUGCUCUAGAGUUCGUCCCCGACGGCGGCGGUGGCCAACUACAGCCACAGGCGCCUCACCUCAACGCUAGGAGCUAGAGAUGUAAAGCGCCCGAGGACCUGCAGUGGCCACGGAGCCUUGCCGCGGCCUGCGCAUGAACGGGAGAGAGAGAGAGCACGUAUCUGCAUGGAUGCGAACAGGAGAGAGACACGGGGACGGAUAGCAGUUAGAGAUAAUAAGGAUAACAAGUCUAUCGAGUGAGUUUAGAUUGAGUCACGGGCUCAUGAGAAGAAUCGCAAAUCGUUGUGUGCUUACGUGCAGUGGACUCGUCUGGUGGAUGGUGGAUGAAGUCCGGCGGGGGAGUCUAGCAUGGGACGUAUGAUGCUUAGCAUUACCGAAAACAAUUCGUCCUGGACUUUGGCGAAAGCGGCCGGCGUUGGUGAAUCCCUGCUGGCUGCUGUGCCUAGAAAUUUACAAUAACAGGAAGGUACCGUGCGCACACCUGUGCGGUAGAUGACAGAUUUACUGGGUCCUCGUCGAUGAGAUGGACGUGUCA